This 65-nucleotide transfer RNA is filed under the name Stenodactylus petrii. RNAcentral describes it as "tRNA-Asp". The record is from RNAcentral. Lineage: Eukaryota; Metazoa; Chordata; Lepidosauria; Squamata; Gekkonidae.
GGGGCACUAGUAAACAUAUUACAUAGCACUGUCAGCGCUAAGUCACGGACCCCCCGUGUGCCCCU